RNAcentral lists this ribosomal RNA (690 nucleotides) under uncultured Enterobacterales bacterium. RNAcentral's name for it is "bacterial SSU rRNA". It matches the Rfam family "Bacterial small subunit ribosomal RNA", at positions 55 to 736 of the family's 1533-position model. The record is from RNAcentral. Lineage: Bacteria; Pseudomonadati; Pseudomonadota; Gammaproteobacteria; Enterobacterales.
AUGCAAGUCGAACGGUAGCACAGAGAGCUUGCUCUCGGGUGACGAGUGGCGGACGGGUGAGUAAUGUCUGGGAAACUGCCUGAUGGAGGGGGAUAACUACUGGAAACGGUAGCUAAUACCGCAUAACGUCGCAAGACCAAAGAGGGGGACCUUCGGGCCUCUUGCCAUCAGAUGUGCCCAGAUGGGAUUAGCUAGUAGGUGGGGUAACGGCUCACCUAGGCGACGAUCCCUAGCUGGUCUGAGAGGAUGACCAGCCACACUGGAACUGAGACACGGUCCAGACUCCUACGGGAGGCAGCAGUGGGGAAUAUUGCACAAUGGGCGCAAGCCUGAUGCAGCCAUGCCGCGUGUAUGAAGAAGGCCUUCGGGUUGUAAAGUACUUUCAGCGGGGAGGAAGGUGUUGCGGUUAAUAACCGCAGCAAUUGACGUUACCCGCAGAAGAAGCACCGGCUAACUCCGUGCCAGCAGCCGCGGUAAUACGGAGGGUGCAAGCGUUAAUCGGAAUUACUGGGCGCAAAGCGCACGCAGGCGGUCUGUCAAGUCGGAUGUGAAAUCCCCGGGCUCAACCUGGGAACUGCAUUCGAAACUGGCAGGCUAGAGUCUUGUAGAGGGGGGUAGAAUUCCAGGUGUAGCGGUGAAAUGCGUAGAGAUCUGGAGGAAUACCGGUGGCGAAGGCGGCCCCCUGGACAA